ACUCAAAGGAAUAGACGGGGACCCGCACAAGCGGUGGAGUAUGUGGCUUAAUUCGAUGCAACGCGAAGAACCUUACCUGGGCUCGACUUGCUUUGUGUCUAUAGUGAAAGCUAUAUAGCGUAGCAAUACGCGCUUAGCACAGGUGCUGCAUGGCUGUCGUCAGCUCGUGUCGUGAGAUGUUGGGUUAAGUCCCGCAACGAGCGCAACCCCCGUAGUUUGUUGCCUUGCAUAAUAGUAAGGCGCUCAAGCUAGACUGCCCAGAUAAACUGGGAGGAAGGUGGGGAUGACGUCAAGUCCGUAUGGCCCUUACGCCCAGGGCUGCACACGUACUACAAUGUCAAAUACAGAGUGUUCCAACCUCGAGAGAGCAAGGCAAUCACAAAAAUUUGACUCAGUUCAGAUUGCAGGCUGCAACUCGCCUACAUGAAGCUGGAAUCGCUAGUAACGGCGCAUCAGCUACGGUGCCGUGAAUACGUUCCCGGGUCUUGCACACACCGCCCGU
Molecule: ribosomal RNA, 502 nt
Filed under: uncultured bacterium
Lineage: Bacteria
Description: partial 16S ribosomal RNA
Rfam family: Bacterial small subunit ribosomal RNA
Source: RNAcentral